RNAcentral lists this non-coding RNA (183 nucleotides) under bovine gut metagenome. The record is from RNAcentral.
CCGGUUUUGGUUCCCCCGCGAGGGGGCCAAGAGGGAAUCGGGUGCGAAUCCCGAGCAGUCCCGCUGCUGUGAGUUCCAACAAGUUAGGACAUCUCCGCACACAGGGUCACUGUGGUACAUAACACGCCAUGGGAAGGCCGCGAAGAGGGUCCGGAACAAGCCAGAAGACCUGCCAGAGCCGAC